CCUACGGGUGGCAGCAGUGAGGAAUAUUGGUCAAUGGGCGAGAGCCUGAACCAGCCAAGUCGCGUGAGGGAGUACUGCCCUAUGGGUUGUAAACCUCUUUUGUCGGGGAGCAAAAGCCGGACGUGUCCGGCUGUGAGAGUACCCGAAGAAAAAGCAUCGGCUAACUCCGUGCCAGCAGCCGCGGUAAUACGGAGGAUGCGAGCGUUAUCCGGAUUUAUUGGGUUUAAAGGGUGCGCAGGCGGAUGUGUAAGUCAGCGGUAAAAUCGUGGGGCUCAACCCCAUCCAGCCGUUGAAACUGGGGAUCUAGAGUGUGCGAGAGGUAUGCGGAAUGCGUGGUGUAGCGGUGAAAUGCAUAGAUAUCACGCAGAACCCCGAUUGCGAAGGCAGCAUACCGGUGCACAACUGACGCUCAGGCACGAAAGCGUGGGUAUCGAACAGGAUUAGAUACCCCAGUAGUC
RNAcentral lists this ribosomal RNA (458 nucleotides) under uncultured bacterium. RNAcentral describes it as "partial 16S ribosomal RNA". It matches the Rfam family "Bacterial small subunit ribosomal RNA", at positions 338 to 795 of the family's 1533-position model. The record is from RNAcentral.